Molecule: ribosomal RNA, 493 nt
Filed under: uncultured eukaryote
Lineage: Eukaryota
Description: SSU rRNA
Rfam family: Eukaryotic small subunit ribosomal RNA
Source: RNAcentral
UAAGGCAUGCAUGUCUAAGUAUAAGUAUUAUACAGCGAAACUGCGAAUGGCUCAUUAAAACAGUAAUAGUUUAUUUGACAAUCUCACUUACAUGGAUACCCGUAGUAAUUCUAGAGCUAAUACAUGCUGUACUACUAACUUUUUGGACAGGAGGUAUUUAUUAGAUAAUAACCAAUAUUCCGCAGGUCUAUAGUGGUGAAUCAUAAUAACUGAUCGAAUCGCAAAGCCUUUGGCGGCGAUAAGUCAUUCAAGUUUCUGCCCCAUCAGCUUUAGAUGGUAGUGUAUUGGACUACCAUGGCGUUCACGGGUAACGGAGGAUUAGGGUUCGAUUCCGGAGAGGGAGCCUGAGAAACGACUACCACAUCCAAGGAAGGCAGCAGCCGCGUAAAUUACCCAAUCCUGACUCAGGGAGGUAGUGACAAGAAAUAACAAGCGGUGGCCUAGCCACCGAAUUGCAAUGAGCCGAAUUUACACCAGUUAGCGAGGACCAAUU